Ceratitis capitata (Mediterranean fruit fly) is the source of this 676-nucleotide long non-coding RNA. RefSeq lists it as uncharacterized. Lineage: Eukaryota; Metazoa; Arthropoda; Insecta; Diptera; Tephritidae. The record is from RefSeq and is a predicted model, not a curated record. The transcript is spliced from 3 exons.
UUGGUGGCUUGUGCACUCCAUUGGAAAGGUGGAUAGAUUUUUUCCAUAAGAACUCUGCAGUGUAUGAUAAAGGACUUUAGUUGAACUUUAAGAAGCACGGUGGGCUUGGUAAAAAACCGCAAUGGUGGAAAUGCAGCUGUGGUCUUUGGGAGUGUCAGAAAUAAUCGAUAUCGUAUUUUCUCUGCUGGCAAAAGCAAAGAAAUACCUGUGAAAGACCUGUUAGAAAAUACUACAAAGAAUCCAAUUCCGCUCUGCGCCUGAUGAUUACUUCCAAAUUCGUAGCUUUUUCCAUCUAUUUGCCUAAGCUGUAUUUCAAAUAAAUUUUUAUGUUAUGACAAAAGGUUUUUAAUACAAAUAAAUAAUAUAUUUUGUAGUGGCGCCCAUUUUCAACCCUUCUCUCAUUACAUAAUUCUUUCCUCGCCUUGUAGUUGUGACAGAAAUCAACCCUUGAUUUGGUAUAUUUCCAUUCUUCGCUCAUCUCUCCGCUUUUAUUUUCCUUGCAACUGUUCGGAUUUCUUGCAAACCAACCGACAAAUGAGGUACAUUGAAUGCGCUUUUUGCAGCGCCGACUUUUUUCACGACUCGCCUGCUGCUACUUCUACUUCCAUUGCUCAAGCUUGUUGUUUGACAUUUUUCCACAUUAAAUAUAACAAUUCUUUUCUUUCAUAUUUCAAAA